GUGAUUUCUGGUGUGGCAUCAUCAAGAUUCACACAAUGUAUGGCAUGCAUGCGAUGCUCUCAUCCUUUCCCCAUCCAUGCAUGCAUGUGAACUGGAGUUCCGUUCAUGCAUGGGAGGUGGAUGGAUUGAUGAGCUUUGCUAGCUAGCCAGCGUUAUGUGUGGGAAUCUUGAUGAUGCUGCAUCGGUGAUCAA
RNAcentral lists this microRNA precursor (192 nucleotides) under Triticum aestivum (bread wheat). RNAcentral describes it as "mir-172 microRNA precursor family". It matches the Rfam family "mir-172 microRNA precursor family". Rfam says of the family: mir-172 has been experimentally verified in Arabidopsis thaliana. The record is from Rfam by way of RNAcentral. Lineage: Eukaryota; Viridiplantae; Streptophyta; Magnoliopsida; Poales; Poaceae. RNAcentral also lists the same sequence under 1 other name.